ACUAAAUAGAUACCCAGGUAGUCCACGCCGUAAACGAUGAGCACUAGGUGUGGGUGGUGUGAAAAAACUAUCUGUGCCGAAAGUCAACGCGCUAAGUGCUCCGCCUGGGGAGUACGGCCGCAAGGCUAAAACUCAAAGGAAUUGACGGGGGCCGGCACAAGCAGCGGAGCGUGUGGUUUAAUUACGAUGUGACGCGAAGAACCUUACCUGGGUUUGUACAUGCACGUAGUAGUGAAGCGAAAGCGGAACGACCCUUCGGGGUAGCGUGCACAGGUGCUGCAUGGCUGUCGUCAGCUCGUGUCGUGAGAUGUUGGGUUAAGUCCCGCAACGAGCGCAACCCUUGUCGCUAGUUACAAGUGUCUAGCGAGACUGCCGAUAUCAAGUUGGAGGAAGGUGGGGAUGACGUCAAGUCAGCAUGGCC
Molecule: ribosomal RNA, 421 nt
Filed under: uncultured bacterium
Lineage: Bacteria
Description: bacterial SSU rRNA
Rfam family: Bacterial small subunit ribosomal RNA
Source: RNAcentral